CAGUCGCCGCGGUAACACGAAGGGUGCAAGCGUUAAUCGGAAUUACUGGGCGUAAAGCGUGCGUAGGCGGUGAGUUAAGUCUGCUGUGAAAUCCCCGGGCUCAACCUGGGAAUGGCAGUGGAUACUGGCUCGCUAGAGUGUGUCAGAGGAUGGUGGAAUUCCCGGUGUAGCGGUGAAAUGCGUAGAGAUCGGGAGGAACAUCAGUGGCGAAGGCGGCCAUCUGGGACAACACUGACGCUGAGGCACGAAAGCGUGGGGAGCAAACAGGAUUAGAGACCUCUGUAGUCCCUGUCUCUUAUAA
RNAcentral lists this ribosomal RNA (301 nucleotides) under uncultured bacterium. RNAcentral describes it as "partial 16S ribosomal RNA". It matches the Rfam family "Bacterial small subunit ribosomal RNA", at positions 509 to 809 of the family's 1533-position model. The record is from RNAcentral.